GCCCUUGUGGCCUAAUGGCUAAGGCAUCAGACUUCUAAUCUGAGGAUUUGGGGUUCGAGUCCCCACUAGGGCU
RNAcentral lists this transfer RNA (73 nucleotides) under Fusarium poae. It matches the Rfam family "tRNA". Rfam says of the family: Transfer RNA (tRNA) molecules are approximately 80 nucleotides in length. Their secondary structure includes four short double-helical elements and three loops (D, anti-codon, and T loops). The record is from Rfam by way of RNAcentral. RNAcentral also lists the same sequence under 1 other name. Lineage: Eukaryota; Fungi; Ascomycota; Sordariomycetes; Hypocreales; Nectriaceae.